UUUUUUUUUUUUUUUUAAAACCAAUUCAAUAGGGAGAUUUUUAUCACUUUGCUUAGGCAACAUUUUUUUAUGGGCACAGCCUAUUGGUGGCUGAAUGUUGUUUUGUUAGUAUUCCUUUGUGCUGUAUUAGUGGUUUCGACGACUUGUCAAUAUUUUUUUAAGCAAAAAUGAAAAUCCUUCCUAAGGAAGGGAGGAAAUUGUGAAGGUAUAUUAAGGAACUUAGGUAUCCUUAUGUAGUAUAAAUAGAAUGUUAGGUAGAAAAAGCUUCUGUUUGUAGUCUAUUAUGGGGUUUAGUGGGAUGUUCCUUUCAAUUUCUUAAUUUUGUUGUGCUGGGCAAAGAGGCUAAAGUGUU
This 352-nucleotide unclassified non-coding RNA is filed under the name Hevea brasiliensis (rubber tree). The record is from RNAcentral. Lineage: Eukaryota; Viridiplantae; Streptophyta; Magnoliopsida; Malpighiales; Euphorbiaceae.